UGUGAAACCUCUCAUUAGUUAAUAAAGAGGUCAAAUUAGGUGCAUGUAAUAUUUGGGCCUCAGCAGUACACAUAGCUUCCAAAACCCUAUAGUACAACUUAAGUGCCUCCAGUAUUCGUUGUUCCAUCCAUAUGUUAUCCAUCAGGUUUACACUCUGAAGGCUUCCAGUUACACUACACUCUUGAUUUCUAGGAAAUAUUGCCUCCAAUAUUAUAUGCGCCCUACAGAUCACAUCAUUGGUAACAUCUUUAUCACAAGAUGAUAAAAAACGCUGCAACUCAGCUGAAGGUUUUGAAGAAAGAGGACAAAUAACAGAACGAAGCCAUUUCGCAGUUGUCAUUGCAGCGCUGACCGGUGUAGCUGCCAUCUUCGCACUUGGCGGCCCAAGGACACCAUUUGCAUGAGAUGCAGGAGGGCGUUGAGGAGACAGCGGGCUUGAGAUCGACUUUGAUGGUGAAGCUACUGAAUCAAAUUUCCUCUACUCAAAACAGAAUAAAUGCUUUCUUAAAUAAACUGACUGCUAAGUACAGCAUAAAAACUAAAAAGUAAAAUGCAUUUUCUCAAAUUUGAAACAGACCUUGAUACCAGUAACAUUCAUGGUCCCUCCAGAAAAGCUCCCUAAACCAAGUAAACUAUCUUCAUCGUUUACAAACACCCUCUCAUCCAAAUCACCUUUAUUACAAAUUGCAUUAUCGUAAUCCUUCUCUAACAUAUUUAAACUGGAUGAAAGAGAUUUUUCCUCCAUUAAACCUUCAAAAUAGAUCAAGCUAUCUGCAUCAAAGAAGAUCAGAAAAAUUAGAAGCAAAACAGACGCAAGCAUGCUGCCAAAAUUGCAUUCAUGACCUAUUUGACGAACCGGUAUCAAUAUUUUCCAGUGUUUCAGUUUUGCACUCAGCUGCUGGACAUGGCUUUUUUUUCAAUAUGUCCUCUAUUAACUUAUUGGCCGUCUCCAUUGUUUUCCUCAAAUCAUCUUCUGAAGCAUCAUACAUGUUGCAAAGUGACGCAAGCAAGUCGACACCUUUGUCACCUUUCUUAACUGAAUGAUUGCAUGUCAAAGAAGUCAACAAUGAGGAACGCCAAAAUUUUACCCCCACCAGGAAAGGAAAAUAAAAAGAAUGUAAAUGAGCAAGGACUAAACAACAGUGAAGAAUGCUGGACAGAAUAAAAGAUAAAGACCAAAGAAGAAUCACAAAUGUAUUCUCUUUAUUGAAAAGGACAGAUCUAAAAAUUUGACAGCCAUGAAGAGCAGAUAAUUACCAAAAUGUGGAGAGUCAUUGAUCUUGAAGUUUCUGAAGCGAACAGGAACAUGUAUAAUCAAGAUAGCCUGUUGACAAUCGCAUUAAAUAGUUAGAAAACAUUAAACUCUCCAUUAUUGAUCAAUGUGCUAUGAAUGUACAAGGAUAGAGUGCAUCAAAGACAACAGCAUAGUUGAGUUGAAUCUUUUGAAGCACAUUUAACUGUAACUCUCUACCUUUGCAUUCCAUUUGAUAAUUAUUAAAUUAAUCCAUUACACAUACAAAUAAUAUCAGAACAUGUUUCACCAUAAGAAAGAGAUGACAUGUUAUUCCUUAGUAAAACCAAGUGUCUACCCAAAUCAACUAGUAAUAAAGCAACAGAAAUGCGUAACUGACCAGUAUAGAAACAAAACCGUUUGCACAAGUCACUAGGUCUUUAAAACGACUGAAUGCGUGCACGCGGAGUGCCAAAAACAGUAACCAUCCAAAUCGAUGACACUCUGAUAUAUAAUCUGACGAACUGGUAGCAUUUUGCUGCUUGUCAAUAUUUGCAUCACUUGUCAAGAAGAGUUCCCAAAAUGCACGCUUGUAUGACCUUUUUAUACCAUUAAAACAGCAAGAUGCAGAUGUUAUUUACUUCACAAAAUGGAAAAUUAUACACAGUAACCACAAAAUUGAGGUUUUGAGGAUACAGCUGCUCGAAGAAAAAAAAAUUUAUAGCAUGCGCGAUACAAAUUGUGUAAUAUAUUAUUUCAAAUAUAAUUCUGCAAUCUGCGUAAGUGAGAAUUUCAUAUUUAUAUCACUAUCUUAACUUUAAUUUUAUCAUCCGUCUGGAGAAGACAACAGUCAAAACAUGCCAUAAACAAGGGCACAUGACCAGUUACUUUUAUAAUUAUGGCAUGUGUAUGGAUGUAUUACAUCAUUAUUGUAUUUUUGCUUUAUGGAGGAUAAAUACUUGAUAAAACCACCACAAUUAGGCCUCCUCCUGCAAAUUUUAGGCAAGGUUCGAGACGAAAUAUGAAAGUAAACUGCAAUUCUAACCCUUAUAGAACAUAAGUUGACGAACCAGAAGCAAUAUACCUUUUUCACCGGUGUGAUUUUGUGCAUUUAAAACUAACCCAUCAAAUUUAGCACAUCGUAGUCCUAUUAAAGAUUAGGGGAGAAAUGCUAAUACAAUUACAAAGCUAUUUGCACAUAUUAUCUUUAUAACCUAGGUUAUAAAAGAAGGGUACCUACUUGCUUAAAAGGCUCAAGUGCACAAAAUUGGCCUGCAUCUCCGUACCCUAAUUGAUAUAAGUACCAUAAGCAGAUAGUCAGGUCGAAGUGACACGGCCGUACAAUUUUUAAAAAAUAUAGACAAAAUAGAAAACAAGCGGAAACAUAAAUCUAUAUUCUUUCAAUACCUCAAGUCGAGUCUCCCAAUCUUCACCAUACAUGUUACGUAAAACGGGACCAGCUUUUACCACAAACUGAGGCAAUUCCUUAAAAAAAUCCACGAUACUGCAAAAAUAAAAUAAACUCACUAUCAUUGAAAUGGUUAUUGAUCGCAAAAGUUACCCUUCCAUACACAAAAUUAACAGUAUCAUACUUCAGCUUUGUAGCUCUCAAUAUCUGGCAAAACGAAAACCCACUUUCAUCAGACUCUUGUUGCGUAUUUUCUCCAAUCUUUUCACUCAGCCGCUUGAGCGAAUAUAAGACAAAUGAAAACCGAAAUCGCUCUGCUUCUUCCAGCUAAUCAGAAUAAAUGCAACAAAGUUAUUUAAUUAAAAAGCAACUCCCUUUCGUAAUUUUCAUAUAAAAGGAAGUUAAAAUAAUAAAAUAAUAAUAAUAAUCUACCGUUCCGCUUCCAAUUGAUGAAACAUUUGACGUUAAAAGGUGUUUUGUUUCUUUGAAUAGCUUCAUAGCAUUUGAACAAGCUUUCUCAUCCAGAGAUAACCCAUUCUGGAAAUCAGGAAAACAUAACACUAAAAAACACAAAAAAGAAAAUAGAAAUACUUGAAAUAAUAUUACUGGAAAUAACAAAUCACUACCUUGCACAAAGCAUUGAAUCUAGCUUCAACGGCAUCGCCAUCUGUGCCACCAGAAGUUGCAACUGAAGGCUUCGUGUCUUCCAUAUUUAUUAAUAACCCUAGUAGUGGAUCUCAAAGUUAUCAAUUUCAGAAAAGUUCAGGAUUCAAAUCUCUCCAACAAUUUUACUCUUAAUCAGCAUAUACGAGAUUAAACUAGCUAAAUCUAUAAAUACAUAACAGCAACUUAAACCUCCGCCUCAAAAUAAAAGUUUAUGCCAACAUUUCAAAAUUUCUAGCUAUUAAUAUACAAUUAAAAAGUAAUAAUCAGUAAAAAAUCAUUUAUACUUCAGGAAAUGGCGAACUACUUUUUAAGAGUGACAAGCAAAAAGUUGAAAAAAAAUAAAACAUUAUUCAAAGAAACCUUACAAAAUUUAGGCUUGAAAUUAGGUUGAGAUCUCGGAUCUAACGAUCCAGCAAACCAGAAACCCUAGCUUCGAAUUCCCCGCCCAAAACAUAGCGUUUUAAGGGAUCGAGAAAAAAGAAAAAGGGAAAAAAAAUCGUUCUUUAAUAAUUUGGAUUAAGAACAAUAAUCCUAAAAUUUCCCCUUUUUUUCUUAUAUAUUUUUGCUCUUCUUAACCUUGGGUUUCUUUUUGUGGAAAACCCUAUCAACGAAGGAUCUUUCCCUCUUUAGCGCGGGAAAAUUAACCAACAUAACAUCAUGAUGGACAUGCACCAUGCACAUGACAUUCAUAGCUAGCCAAUUAUUUUUUGACGCGUACUGUUGCCGCCAUUGGAUUUUACCGCCAAAAUCCAUUAACAUCUAGCCGUAACGGAGAUUCCCGCUUUGGAAAAGAUCGGUAAAGGAUUCGCGUUUUCUUCGUCACGGUGAAUUUAACGGAGAGUUGGUGAGUUGGGCCGAGCAGUUGUCGGAGUCUUGAAAAUUGGGAAGAGAUAGUGUCAGGUAGACUCGUGUGAGAAUGGGGCCCACUGAAAGGGUUUUUUUUUUUAUAGUGUCGUUUAGCGGUAAGAAGUUGUGUCGUUUUAUGUGAGUGAAAUGUUACGAUGAGUGCAUUCACAGGGACUUUUCUGUAGGACCACGUCACUGAUGCUUAGGCACGUAAGGCCUUACACCUUACAUUAUAAGCGUACACCAUUUUAACAUUUGGAGUAAUUGAAAAGAAAAUUAUGAAAUGUAGCUUGGUGGUUGCUUUCUUUUAAUCAUGAUAUUAAAUAUUUAGUCUAUGUUUAAAAAAAUAAAACAUAUUUCAUAAUUAAUUAUUUACUUAUUAAGAGAAUAUCUGCAUCUUAACUCGAUUGGUAUAAGUAUUGUUGCUAAUGCAGAAGUAUGUAAGUUUAAAUGCGUUGAAGCAAGUACAACUAAUUUCAAGAACAACAUGAAUUAGAUAGGUAUUGCCAACGGAGGACCAUCCUACCACCUCUGGCAUUGUUGCUUGCAAAAGUGGAUUGAGUUGUUUCCUCCUCCAGAGGCUGGUUAUCCCUCAUGUUAGUGUCCCUAGAUGUUCUAACCUCAUACUAGGCAGUCUUCCAAGUCCAACAAGCGUUGUUCCUGAAACUAGUCGUGCUGCUUAAAGAGUUGAGCUAAGGUGGCGCAUCUUCUCCUACAUUUCUGUGACUUACUGUCGGGAGCCAGAGUUUUGAUGCUGAAUAUUUUUAUGAAAAAUGUAUUCCAACAUGGAUUUGGAAAAACCAAAACCUCAAAAUCAUCAUGCAUGUUGGAUUAAAUUUUGUUUUUGGUUCCUCUACAGUAUAGUUUACAAUGCCAAUCCUUGUAUGGUUUGCUUGUUUUCUCCUUGCCAAAAAUAGUGGAUUUUAGUGGGAAUCUGAGUUUCCUGUUUUUGCUUAGUUUUUGGAUUCCACCAGCUCAUGAUAAAUUACCGAUGGCCAACUUCUCAUUCAUGUGUUAUGUCAAUAAGAAUGAAGGAACAGUGCUAAUAACAUGAUAAUUUGUGUACCUCUGCAUCAAAGUUGAGAAUCAAUUUCUAAGCCUUCUGAUAUUGAUGAUGUUUUUUUUUAAGUGGUGUAGGUAAACAUUUUUAUUUUAAAAAAAAGCUAUAAGAAGAAAACAAAAGUGCACACCCCAAAAUGAAAGUUUUAACUUAAAAAAAAUCACGAAAAAAUAGUAUCUAAAUUAAAAGAUGAUUAUUAUUUAAAAUUUAAAUGUUAAUAUAAUAUAAGAAUCUAAUCUAAUAUAUAUAUAUAUAUAUAUAUUUAGAUGCAAAAGAGAUAAUUUAAUAGUUAAGAUAUUUUUUUUAAAUUGUAAAAAUUAAAUAAAAAGAGAGAAAUGCCACUUGGCGCUUUAUGGGCUUGUGUACCUUAUUAUAUUAUAUAUAUUAUUUGUUAAACAUGAAAGCAAAAAAACAUAUAGUUGCACUAGACUUGAAACGGGAGCCCAAACAACCACCUAGAGGGGGACAAAAGUUUCAAAAAUUGAAGGACUUAAUAUAUAUAAAUAUACACUUUUAAAAUCUUAGGGGAUCGGAGCCUUUACCUACCCCACAUCGACCACUUCUUCGAAUUUUUUAUUCUUUCUAGAUUAAUCACAUAGUUUAAAAUAGAAUUCACCAAUUAUCUCAUUUUCCUGCAUCCUUAAGGUUUCAAACUUAAUAGUCAGCAUUUUGCAACUUUGAUUGCAUAACUGUAUUUUUAACCUUAUGUGUUGUUUCAAGGAUAUCCAAACCUCAUUGGCAUGGUACACUUAGAAAUCCUCUUGAAUUAUUAGGCAUCCUCACCACAAAAAAAUUUGCGUUAAGAGCCUUUGAAUUCACAUUAGCAAGUUUCUGCUCUUAGUGGUCCAGGUCAACUCAGACUUAGGUGUAUUGACACUAGAGGCUUUAGUGAAUGGGUGCUCCCAAUCAGUAACAACAAAUCUUCAGGCUUUUUCAUCCAUAGACUUGACGAAAGUCGUCAUUCUAGUUUUUCAGUAGGCAUAGUUCUCACCAUCUAACAUGGAGGGAUGGGACGCUGAUGAUCUUUCCAUUUCAAGCAAAUAUCAACACUAAAAAAAUGAAUAGUGCUACGAGUAAUGCCAACUACUUCAAGAACAAAGAUGAACUCAAUGAUAUGUUUAUGUAGUUCAAUUUCUAUAUGUCUAUGAGGUCUUGCCCAAAGAGAUAAUUCACUACCUUAACAACUCGUACAACAAGUGAUUAUAAGUACUAAUACUCACCAAUUAGCAACCUCACUUUUGCAAUUAAGAUCUAGAUUUCUCUCCUCUAAGUUUUCUUCCCGAAACAUAGGGUGAAAACCAAGUAAUUCACUAGUUAUCACACUCAAUGCACUCAAAAUUACAAGUUCCUUACUGAACAAAUAAAUGCUCAAUCUCUCUAUGAAUAACCUAUACACAUCUCAAGUAUUUAAACUACUUUCGAUUUGUUAACAUUCUAGAUCAAUUAGAAUCAAUCUUCCCAUCAAUAAAGCAAGAUAAUUAGCAUGGAGAAUAUCUUCAAUGAGUCCAAGAUAUGUCUUUUAAUUUUCACUAUAUGUUACCAAGUUACCUGAUCUGAUCCAAUCCAUACCAAUCUUCAAGAUAUAUUAUUACAAUCGAUUUGGAUAUCAUAGAUGGGCUUACACACAUCCAAAGUAUUAGUAAAGAUCAUAGCUUAAUAAGUUUUUAUUUACAAAAAUUGUCAACUCUAAAUAUGACAAGUUAUGAGGGUAAGCAGUUUUAAAUAGCAGCGAGCACUACUCUAAGCACUCGUAACUACCUCAACAUGAUUUAUAUAAAAAAAUUAAAAAUUAAAAUAAUGAUUAAAUUGAAUAAAAUAAAAAAAAGAAAUCUAGGGAUUUAUUCCAACAUUAUCAAUAUUGAAUUAUGGAUUUAAUUAAAAACAGUGUAGUGUACCUUGCAUUUUUCAGAUCCUUUCAAGCACUUUUUGUCACCCGCAUCACAACAUGAGGACGUCAGAAUCGCAACACCUCCAACAGGCGACGACAUCACAACGAGAAGGCUUCUAACGUCACGAUGAGGAGGUUUCCGACAUCACAACGAGGGCGAAUAUGACGUCGGGACAACACGACUUUUUCCCCAAGUAACUCAUCCGUGUUUUACAGCAAAAUAGGGUUACUUUUCCCAGUUAAACUCUAAUUACUUCAGCAUAAUUCUAGUCAUAUUAGGUCACAAAUGUUAGCCUAUUUAAAGGCCACAGUAACACUAGAAUUUAUAUAUAGAAAAUACAGAAUUGAGAGGAAAAAUAAGAGUUUUGCAGGAAUUUAGUAAGAACUUUAUAUUUUGGCUUCAUGUUUGUUUUGAUUUUCUAUCUUGUACUCUUUCGAUUUUGUUCAUAAGUGAAGUUUUCUUUUUCCGUGGCUCUUAUCCUCUUCAUCCGAGGAGUUUUUCUACAUAAAUAUUUGUUUCUCUAUUUCUUCUUUCUCGUUGUUUAUACGGGUCGAACCCCAACUAAAACAUUGCAAAAUUCAAGUAUUAAAUUAAAUAAAACAUGAAUCCUGUAAGGAUAUUUUUGGAAUAAUAUCAAGUUAGGAUUUGUCGAACAAAAAAAGAGAGGCUAAAUUGAAUAUGUAUUUAUAGAAUAAAUUUAUUAAAUACAAUCCAUUCAUGCAUUGCAGGGUUAAAAAACUAAUAUAUAUUGUAAAAUUAAUAAGGUAAAAAAACUCUUAUGUGACAUCAUAAAAUUAUGACAGUAUAUAUUUUCAUCAAUUAUAAAAUUAAUAUAACUAUUUUUUGUAACAUUUGCAAUGCACAUGAAAAUUUUAUUUAUUUAAAUUUGUCCCUAUUUUUAAAUAAAACAUUAUGUUUUUCUUAAACCUAAACUUCCCAUAUUUUUAAAGAUAUCAUCAAACUAAUUUUUAAUAACUAAAAAAUUAACUACCACACACAUUUCAUUAAAAAAAAUUACAUAUAAAAAAUAAUUUAUCAUUGAUCGCUUGUUUAUAACAAUUAAUAAAAGUUUGUCUAUUAAUAAAAUUGUAAAGUGAAACUUUAACCCAUAUUUAUAAUUUUAAAUAUGUAAUAUAGCACUUUUAUAAUAAUUAAUUUGUUACAAAAUUAUAAAAUUAGCUCAAAUAAUGUUUACAAUGUGCUCAUAUAUAAGAAAAUUUUAAAUUAAGUUAAUAAUGUUUGCAGUCAGAUAAUAAUAAUAAUAAUUGUUAAAAUUUUAUUUUAACUUAAAUAAUGUUGCAUAGAUAAUUAGAAAUUUUAUAAAAAAUAAAUUAGGUAAUUUAAAAUGUAUAUAAACCGAGACAAAUAAGAAAUUUAAAUAUAUAUUUAAAAUUUAAUAUAUAUAUAUAUUGUACAUUUUAGAUAAUUAGAUAACUUCUUUAAAAUCUUAAAAUUAGAUGAUAAUUUGAAUUAUGAGCCGUUAAACAAACUAAGCAUAAUAAUUUAUUUGAUUCUUCAACUUUACAAAAAAAAUUAAAAUUAUUUUAACCCUUCAUUUUUUUUUUUCAUGUAAUUAGCUUUUUAACUAGCAUUAUUUGCAAAUCGCCAUAAACAGAUAAAAUAAAUUUAUUAGCUUUACUAACGUAACAUCCACAUGUAUGUCACAUUAAUAAUUAAUUAAUUUCUAAAAUUAAAAAAAUUAUAAAAUUAUUUUAAAAAUUAAAAAUUAUUUUAAAACAUAUAAAAAUAUUUUUAUAUAUUUUUAAAAUUUUAAAAGUUCAUUAGUUGUUGUGUGACAUACAAGUCAACUAUCACGUGAAUGGCUACAAACAUUAAUAUUUUCAUUCAUUUAAGAUGAUUUGACAAGUGAUACAAGUCAUAUAUUUAUAUCCCUCCUUUUAUCACCUUUACCUUAGAAGAUACUGUUAAAAAAGAAAUUGACCUCUAAAAAUCUCCUAAAACAAUCCCAAAGAAAAUUACCCCCUUCAAGGAGCACUGUGAUUCCGAUAUAAAUGAUGAUCAAACAGCAGUACUAUUUGGCUACAACCAGGUAAAGAAAGGCAAAACUUUAUUCAAUUUGUUAGGCCAAGCUUCAAAGUACUGUUAGCUAACAUCAGUGAACACAUUGGGAAGGUGGUGGGUAUUCUACAGUAACACACCGCUCAUACGUACCUCGUGUGAUGAACUUACAUUCAUACAUACGAUCUAACAAGAAUACAGGAGAGGGGAAGAAUAUACAAGGAAUAAGAGCGCGCUGGGCUAAGAUUCUGGUUGCUCGGAUUUUAAAGGUGCACCGGAUGAGGAUGCACAGCUCCCAUUUUGCAGGUAAAGGCUAUUUGCAACCAUAGAAUCACUAACCAAGCCGACAUCAACAUCGUCGAAGUUGAGUGCCCCUCUGAUCUUCCUGCCACUGGAAGCAACAAAGCAAAUGGCAGCUUCAUUAGUUAAGUACAUCACGAUAACUUUGGUGAAUGUACUUGGUAGGUCCUUUUUAUUAUAUGGACCAGAUUAAAUUAGCCUAUCUAAGAUCAAUUUAGUCUUUGUAUUAUUAAAAAGAAUCAAUUAAGGCCAAAUUUCAACAGAGUUCAUAUUUACUAUUUAAAAAAUGUCAUUUUCUACUCAACUAAGUUAUAUUUUGAAAGCUUUUAAUGGCAAAUGAAAUAUUCUUUUUAGAGUAGAACUGUAAAUGAAAAAAUUAAUUUUUCAUAUCAUUUUUUAAUCAAUAAAUGUUAACUCCGUUGCAUUUUAGCCUCACUUGAUUCUUUUUAAUAAUAUAGGAAUUCAUAUUAAUAGUACAGAGGCUAAUUUGAUUCAAUCCCGAUAAUAGAAGGCGUUUGUAGGUACUUUCACCCAAGAACUUCUAUACUUUAAAAAAAUAUUGUUACCCAGGGAGAGGAGAAGAAUACCCGUUCAAGUGAUUGUUGAUAGCAGUUAGGUCUUUCGAAGGGCUCUGAUAGGCACGAGUACUCUCUCCAACACAAGCAUAGUAGCUUCUUGAGCUAUGCGAGAUUAGAGCAUCCAUCUGUAAAUGAAAACAAGAUCUAAUUAAUAAACAACGGCACAUACUUCUUUCCUGUGGAACCACAAAUUCCAACUAUAUUACUCAGACUCUUCGGGGUUUUUUUUUGUUUUGUAUGUACCAUGUUCAGACACCAGUCUCAUGUAUCUAUACACAUGUAUAUCAAACCAUGUACAAGGAUAUAGCCUAAAAAAGCCUUCCAGAUACAUGAAAAAACUAGAAAAUUCUGAACAUACCCAUCCCAGAAACAUUCCCAUAUCACACACUCAAACCUGAGAGCCCGAGUAACAUAGGAUUCAAAUACCAACAGCUAAAAAUAGAAUAAUUUUCUAUGAUACCUUGUUCAGUCAAUCAAGAGUCAUAACCCGAGAUUCAACUUUUCCUACAAGAUUCAUAGAACUUAAAAUCGGAAUUUUAAAGGAUCUUUUUCUUUUAUUGGUCUUUUACAAGUCCUGCAUCUUGGACAGAGUGCAGCAUCUCUUGAGUGGCAAUAGUUCUAAGCAAUCAACUAAACUUUUUCCUGUUUGCUCUAGAAGGCUGGUCAAAUCUUAAAUGUACGAGUCUGAUUUUCUACUAAAUGGAAAAUUGGCGACUCAAAGUCAACUCAAUGGAGAGACCAAAAAAAGAAAAAAAGAUUUUAAGUACCUUGGAUGUCCGCAAUGGAGACACAUAUACGUUAUGCGUUGCAGAUACUUUCUUUGGGGACAUAUCAGGGAGACUUGGAAAAGGAGAAACUUUAGGAGAUCCAGGGCAUGUACCUAAUUAGGCAAAAUGAAGAUAGAACAAGUAAAAUUAGAUAACCUGCAGAUGCAGCAAGAAAAGAAUAUAAAACUGAAACCUGGGUACAAUAAUGGUCUAUAUGAAACAUUUACCAUCAUUACUAUUGUUGGCUUCAGCAACUCUACUCGUUCUUGUGGUUGUUCCAGCAGAACCAAGUUCUCCCAGCAAAGGCUUUAUGGAAGGAACGAAUGUUUCGUUGUAGAAUGCAAUGAUAUCAACAUUGUCCUGCCCAGUUCUCUGUUUACAUAUCAUUAAAAUGGUUAAAAUUUCCUCGAAAAGGAGGGAGAAAAGCAACUGGAGAUGAGAUAUCGUACCCCAUUUCUUCGUGCAGAUGACCUGUCAACAAAUACACUUUGGAAAACUUGUGGCUUACAUUGUGGUUGCUUCUUAUAGUUGCAAAUAAUUUCUUUGAAAGUCAGGCGCAACUGAGAUAUCUGCAAGUCAUUCCUUCAGGAAGUAAGAGGAAAUAGUGCAGAUAAAUUUAACUGUGGCUAAAAUGAUCUCAUAAGAUGUGCAGACCUUCGCGACUACAUAGAAACAACAAAGGAUGAUCUGGUCAAUAUGACGGUUAAAGAACAAAGAAGUCCUCUGGUUAAGUAUUUUUUGGAAAAGAGAAUACACACUCUCCCUUAUCUGUUGAGACAGUUGUAGCCUCUCAACCAUGCCAUUAAUCCGGACAGCAGCCAACUUAUUAAUCUGGGCGGUGCAAACAAAGAAAAAGAAAAAGCAAAAUGUAAGACAUGUAGUAGAUGAUAACCACUGAGUUUAAAUCAAAUUCAAUAGUAAGUACUUGUGGGCAAUUUGCCACAAGAAAAUUAUAUCGCAGUAGAUUUACAUUUUACAAUCAAGUACUAGGAGGUUAAAUUUUUGAACCAGUUAAAAGUGUAUUAAGGUACACCAUAGUUUCAUAAAAAAGUCUAAUUCAUCUCAUGUUUUGAUACCUUGCUAAAAAAUAUAUUUAUUCCUGUUUCCGCACAUGUUUCUCCUCCACCACCAGGGUUAGGGCGUGUUGGACUACAAAAAAAAGUACCCAAAAAGAAAAUGCAGUAAGCCAGAGCAAUUAGUACAGGUCUCCACUUCCUUAGAACUUGCACCCUACAAUACCUGGCAAAUGCAGAUUGCAAAGGUGCCUUCUUAAGAUUGCUUAAUGCUAAUAGACGAUCCUUCACUGGUGAUGUAAAAGCAUUCCGUUCAACCAACACACUCCUCAACUCCGUGCAAGGUCUCAUGGGAGACCUGACAUCCCCAUUUUGUCCUGAUAAAAGUAACAUGACAAUGUAAAUUAAGUUCAGGAUAGAAUACAUUGUGAGAAAGAACCAUAAUAAAAUCCGGUAACACAAGUUACUGCAUUAAACAAGAAAAUUGGCAUACUGGUCACAGUUUCUCCAUACCUGAAAAUAUAACUGCUAAAAUUAAGCUAACAAUGUUGCAUACCUAAGAUUGAGCUACCAGCAUUCCCCGUUGAUGUUUCAUGCUUCUGCAAAGGAGGCACCGGAGGUGUACCUCCAGAAAAGUUUAUAUGUGUUGCAAUUGCAUCCAAAGGUAGCAUUGGUUCUGCCAAUAAGCCAAGACGAUUUAUUUCGGCAGAUAGGGCAGGUUUUGCAACUAUCAAAGAAUUGUACAUUGAGGAACCUUUAUCCCACACCAUGCUCUCCAAAAGCCUCUCUUCCAGAGAAUUUAGAUGCCGCCUCAGUUCCCUUGGUAGAGACUCCUCAUGUCUAAUAAAACUCUCUAUCACCUUGCUCAAAUCAAAGGCUGUAAUACCAGUUCUGUCCAGAACUGUAGGAAACAACAUUGUGGCAGUCUUAUGUGUCGCCAGCACUAGUUCAGCAGAACAAGCAAGCAUGCAUCUAUGAAACCUCUCAUUAGUUAAUAAAGAGGUCAAAUUAGGUGCAUGUAAUAUUUGGGCCUCUGCAGUACACAUAGCUUCCAAAACCCUAUAGUACAACUUACGUGCCUCCAGUCUUCGAUGUUCCAUCCAUAUAUUAUCCAUCAGGUUUACACUCUGAAGGCUUCCAGUUACACUACACUCUUGAUUUCUAGGAAAUAUUGCUUCC
Molecule: long non-coding RNA, 12956 nt
Filed under: Gossypium barbadense (sea-island cotton)
Lineage: Eukaryota; Viridiplantae; Streptophyta; Magnoliopsida; Malvales; Malvaceae
Description: long non-coding RNA (GBAR_LNC015261)
Source: RNAcentral